AGACGCUCAGCAAAUCUUCCUAGACUCACGGGGCGAAUUGUACAGUUGGGUAAAUCGAGGCCCAGAGAUGGCAAAAGGACCGUCCAAGGUCGUACAGCCACCCGGAAUUACAAUUCUUUUCUGCCGGGUCACACGCUGUCAUCCACGUGUUACCUAAGAGAGCUUUCCAGCCUGUGCUAAGAAAACUGCCCCACAUCAUCUGCAGUAGGACGGGGGAGUUGGAGCCCUGGUCAGGCCACUCUGCUACUGACCACAGUUUUCUCAUCUCUAAAAAGGCGCAGUAACAAUAUAAUUACCGUAUGCAGUCCCCCAGGAUACAGGGUCAAAGGAGAGCACAACCAUCGCAGUUGGAAGCCCAUGGGGCAGCCCAGUGCAGAUGCAUCUGACUUACGAAACUUCAGUGACACCUGCUCUGUGCCAGACACUGAAGAUGGAGCAGUGAACAGCACUGACCCAGCCUGUCCUCCUGUUGCCUGCAGGCCAGAAGCAAGGUCUCGCUGUGUUACCCUGGCUGGAGUGCAGUGGCUACUUACAGGCAUGAUCAUAGCAUACUGCAGCCUCGAACUCCUGGACUAGAGCAGUUCUCCUGCCUCAGCCUCCAGAGCAGCUGGGACUGCAGACACGCACCACAGAGCCCAGCCUGAGUCAUUUUGAUUCUGUAACUGGCUUCCUCUCGGCGGGCAGGCUCACACCCUCCACCCCCAGCUGGAGAUGGAAGGAGGAUGCUCACCGCCCAUUCCUCAUGCAGGCCAUCGAUGGAAAUGUCAGACAGUGCGAGUCCACGCCUGAACACUUCUGGGGUCCGCUCUGGGACUGACACUGGCAGAUCCAUCGGUGAGCUCCCGCCUGCCACCUCUGGGCCUGCAUUGCGGUGAUAGGGCCAAGGGCCUGGGCCUUCAAUUCUCCAGACUUGCCAAAAUGCUCAGCGCAGGCCUCGUCGGCAACUGCAGACAAGCAGAGGCAGCACCUGGGCUCUGCCUGUGCCUGGCACAGUGAAGCGAGGGUGGGGGCAGGAAUGAGGGUCCUCUCCAUGCAAGGGGGGAAGAUAGAAGAACAAAAUUUCACCCUAAUGUAGUGUCUUUAGACCGUGCAAUGUUGUGCUCCUGUUAGUCUGAUAUCAGGGGCUUGCAGCCUGGCAAAGGAAAAAAAACAGGCUGAGGCACAUGAUAGAAGACAGGCAGGGAUGCCACAAUCAUAACCAUGGCAAAGACCAGGAUCAGAAAGGCCCACCAUCUCUGACCCCAAAUCCCUGGGCAGAUGGUUCCAGAACUCAGAAUUUUCCCAGUUGUAGAAAGAUGGGGCCAGGUGCAGUGGCUCACGCCUGUAAUCCCAGCAUUUUGGGAGUACAAGGAUGGUCUCAAUCUCCUGACCUCGUCAUCCGCCCGUCUCGGCCUCCCAUAGUGCUGGGAUUACAGGCAUGAGCCACCACGCCCGGCUGUUUUAUUUCUUAUAACUGUACAGGAAUCUACAAUGAUUGUAACAAAAAUUUCAAUUAAGGCCACUCUAGGCACAUGGCCUGUGGGGUAGCCCUGCUCAACAAGAAGCCGUCAAAAAAAUGUUUUUUAAUUAAAAAAUUUCUUCAAUUAAAAA
Homo sapiens (human) is the source of this 1590-nucleotide long non-coding RNA. Ensembl annotates it as long intergenic non-protein coding RNA 963. NCBI's taxonomy places the organism in Eukaryota, Metazoa, Chordata, Mammalia, Primates, Hominidae. The record is from Ensembl.